UUGCACAAGGCAAGUCCUACACAACCAGCUCCUGUUUAAUCCUCCAGGACGGGAACGUAGCAAAGGUAUACGGUUGUAGCGGUGUGAUGUAGGUCGCUUGCCUAUUU
Non-coding RNA from Chishuiella changwenlii, 107 nucleotides. NCBI's taxonomy places the organism in Bacteria, Pseudomonadati, Bacteroidota, Flavobacteriia, Flavobacteriales, Weeksellaceae. The record is from Rfam.